UACGUAGGGUGCGAGCGUUAAUCGGAAUUACUGGGCGUAAAGCGUGUGCAGGCGGUUUGUUAAGACAGGUGUGAAAUCCCCGGGCUUAACCUGGGAAUUGCGCUUGUUACUGGCAAGCUAGAGUGCGUCAGAGGGAGGUGGAAUUCCACGUGUAGCAGUGAAAUGCGUAGAUAUCGGAAGGAACACCAGUGGCGAAAGCGGCUUCCUGGUCCAGCACCGACGUUCAGGCACGAAAGCGUGGGGAGCAAACAGG
This 253-nucleotide ribosomal RNA is filed under the name uncultured bacterium. RNAcentral describes it as "partial 16S ribosomal RNA". It matches the Rfam family "Bacterial small subunit ribosomal RNA", at positions 524 to 776 of the family's 1533-position model. The record is from RNAcentral.